AGAUUGAACGCUGGCGGCAUGCCUUACACAUGCAAGUCGAACGGCAGCACGGGAGCAAUCCUGGUGGCGAGUGGCGAACGGGUGAGUAAUACAUCGGAACGUGCCCAAUCGUGGGGGAUAACGCAGCGAAAGCUGUGCUAAUACCGCAUAAGAUCUACGGAUGAAAGCAGGGGAUCGCAAGACCUUGCGCGAAUGGAGCGGCCGAUGGCAGAUUAGGUAGUUGGUGAGGUAAAGGCUCACAAGCCUUCGAUCUGUAGCUGGUCUGGAGAGGACGACCAGCCACACUGGGACUGAGACACGGCCCAGACUCCGUAGGGAGCAGCGAGGUGGGUAAUUUUGGAACAAGUGGGACGAAAGCCUGAUCCAGCCAUCGCCGCGUGACAGGA
RNAcentral lists this ribosomal RNA (386 nucleotides) under uncultured soil bacterium. RNAcentral describes it as "bacterial SSU rRNA". It matches the Rfam family "Bacterial small subunit ribosomal RNA", at positions 26 to 409 of the family's 1533-position model. The record is from RNAcentral.